RNAcentral lists this ribosomal RNA (484 nucleotides) under uncultured bacterium. RNAcentral's name for it is "partial 16S ribosomal RNA". It matches the Rfam family "Bacterial small subunit ribosomal RNA", at positions 30 to 507 of the family's 1533-position model. The record is from RNAcentral.
AUUGAACGCUGGCGGCAGGCCUAACACAUACAAGUCGAGCGGAUGAAGGGAGCUUGCUCCUGGAUUCAGCGGCGGACGGGUGAGUAAUGCCUAGGAAUCUGCCUGGUAGUGGGGGAUAACGUCCGGAAACGGGCGCUAAUACCGCAUACGUCCUGAGGGAGAAAGUGGGGGAUCUUCGGACCUCACGCUAUCAGAUGAGCCUAGGUCGGAUUAGCUAGUUGGUGGGGUAAAGGCCUACCAAGGCGACGAUCCGUAACUGGUCUGAGAGGAUGACCAGUCACACUGGAACUGAGACACGGUCCAGACUCCUACGGGAGGCAGCAGUGGGGAAUAUUGGACAAUGGGCGAAAGCCUGAUCCAGCCAUGCCGCGUGUGUGAAGAAGGUCUUCGGAUUGUAAAGCACUUUAAGUUGGGAGGAAGGGCAGUAAGUUAAUACCUUGCUGUUUUGACGUUACCAACAGAAUAAGCACCGGCUAACUUCGUG